This 77-nucleotide transfer RNA is filed under the name Firmicutes bacterium CAG:475. RNAcentral's name for it is "transfer RNA-Pro(CGG)". It matches the Rfam family "tRNA". Rfam says of the family: Transfer RNA (tRNA) molecules are approximately 80 nucleotides in length. RNAcentral also lists the same sequence under 6 other names. The record is from RNAcentral. Lineage: Bacteria; Bacillati; Bacillota.
CGGGGUGUAGCGCAGUUUGGUAGCGCGUACGGUUCGGGACCGUAAGGCCGCGAGUUCAAGUCUCGCCACUCCGACCA